This is a long non-coding RNA of Sorghum bicolor (sorghum), 2316 nucleotides long. RefSeq lists it as uncharacterized. The record is from RefSeq and is a predicted model, not a curated record. Lineage: Eukaryota; Viridiplantae; Streptophyta; Magnoliopsida; Poales; Poaceae. The transcript has 4 exons.
AUAGCAAACUUUCUAUUUUACAAAACCAAAUAGCACAUCUGUUGGAGCCUAUUUUUCUUCUAUAGAAGUUCUAAAAGGCGUCCAUAACAAGAAUAGCAAAGCUGUUGGAGUUGCUCUUAUGCGGCCAGUCGGCAUUGCCCAGCGGCUAGAAUUUUUGAUAUUUAUUUAAUCCUGAAUUCACACGCCCCUCGACAUUUAACAGUAUGUAUCUAUAUCUAUCUAUCUAUCUAUCUAUACUAUAAUUGACCACUUCAAAUAAUUUUAGAUCCACCAAGAAAAACGGCCCCCGCUGAGUAGUCUAACCAUUGUGUACCUAGAAAAUUACACACAAGAAUUUAUCUCUAUUAAAAUCAAGGGCUCACGAAACAACUAUGUCAGAUCCAAAGGCCUAGAACCAAAGUUUGAUGCGAGGCUUCUCACCCCUUCACACCCACUCCCUCCCCUCAUGUGUCGUCCCCCGCACGCCGCAGAUUCGAUUCCUGAGACUCGCUAGAAAAAAAAUCAUGGUAUAGAAAGAAAAAAAACCUCCCCCGUACAACCACAGCAGCACGGGAGGCUGCUGCAACGGCCGUCGUCGCAUGCGCAUGCGCUCCGCCGGUCGCGCCUCUAUCAGCCGCUACUGCCUCAUCACGCAGGCGGGGCGCAGUUCCGUGGAGCGACAUGUACAAGUGUCGGCCGCACAGGCGCAAGGUCACACAGGCAUGCGCGGCGUCGACGGAGCCGCUGCGGUCCUCGAGGACGCACAGACAAGCGGAGGCACGUAUGGGCCGGGACCGCAGGGCCAUAGGAUGGCAGGACUUGUGGGACGCGCGAUUCGCCAGAGGCCCGCCAAGCCCAGGGUAGCAGGACUCGCUGCCCUCGACGCCUCGCUCCAAGACGUACGGCGGCGGCCCUCACCAUGCUUCUCGGAAUCGUGCUCGAAGCCAUGACUAGGCCACGUGGAAGCAGUCCUCGCCAUGUUGCGUGGAGCCAUGCUCGAUCACCGGCCCUCCCCGUGCUGCAUGGCUCCUCACGACCUCAUUGGAUGUUUGUUGUACUCUACCACAUGCAGGUUCUUCUCUCUCCCUUUCCUAAGCCCCUUCUGAUUCAUAAUCCAAUACAGGUUCCUAAUCCAAUGGGCUUUGUGUUCUCCUGCAAUGGAUUUUUUUACUCCCUAAUGAUGUUGCAAAGUGUCCUCUUUAAAGCCCUGAAGAUGUUCGACAAAAUGGCAGAGUUGAAUGGCACACUCAUGGUCAAGCAAUGCAUUUGCACCAAGGUACCUGGUAACAAUAGAAUUCUUUGAUUCGUGUCAAUUUAAGCUCUACAAAGAAACUCAUGAUACCUUGCCAUUUAAAUCUAAAACUGGACCCUUUUUUUAGGACCCUCCAACUUUCAAUUCCAUAGAGAAAAAUAGUACGAAAGCAACCAAUUUUUUCUGUUUUCUUGCUCUAUUCUGAAAUGAUAUAUUUGGCAAAAUGGUCACAGAGAGCAUUUGUGUCAACCUACAUUUGGUUACUGCAGUUAUUCACAAAUUCUGAUAAAGCUCGUGUGGAGGAAGCUCUGCACAGACUUUGUUUAUAGGGUUUACUGUGUUCACAAAUUACUAGGACAUGGUUGUGAGUAGUCCUUUCUCUUCUCUAUGUGCAAGAUGGUAACAGUAAAAGAGCUAGGACUUCAACAUAGUACUAUGGACAAUGCAAGCUGACCAAAAUCAAGCAAUUACCAUGAUAUCAUAUAUGCAUCGUCAGCAGAGACAGCACAGGUAAGAAGGAAAAUUGUGUACCUUCAGUGCUCCAAUAGAUAGGAGAUUGUCAACAACAAGACAAUUGGGGAAGGUUCAGACAACAUUUUGCUUGUGGGAAUGGAGGGUGUUGCACCAGGUUCUGUCAGCAUUGAUGUUCUACAUGUGAAAGUUGAAGAUCCACUUCACUUUUAUAAUCAAGUUUUGGAUUCCAGAGAGCUCACUAGGUCAGUAUCAUUUCUAUUUCACUAGACUAGAGAACAUUACACUUGUGACUAUCAGGUGAUGGCUUGGGGGGAAAGGUCAUGCUUGGAUACGCAGGGAGUGGCAAGCUUAUUGCCUUUUGCAAAACAAAAAACAGUUUUUAGGAGUGGCAAGCUUAUUGCCUUUUGCACACAAAAAACAGUUUUCAGUGAAUGAAGGAUUGUUCCUAACCAUCCUUGCACUGAACUUUCUCAACCUGCCUAUUCUCGGUUGGCAUUAGAGAAGGAAUAGGGUUCCACCAUUCUUGUACUGCAGUUAAUUUGACCCAACUUAAGGCAUGGAUAAUAUUUUUGACGAGAAACAAUUAUAUUGCUUUCUUUUCUACAAUGUAA